This 1286-nucleotide ribosomal RNA is filed under the name Fusarium oxysporum. RNAcentral describes it as "SSU rRNA". It matches the Rfam family "Eukaryotic small subunit ribosomal RNA", at positions 61 to 1321 of the family's 1831-position model. The record is from RNAcentral. Lineage: Eukaryota; Fungi; Ascomycota; Sordariomycetes; Hypocreales; Nectriaceae.
ACGGGGGGGGGUUUGUCUAGUAUAAGCAUUAUACCGCGAAACUGCGAAUGGCUCAUUAUAUAAGUUAUCGUUUAUUUGAUAGUACCUUACUACUUGGAUAACCGUGGUAAUUCUAGAGCUAAUACAUGCUAAAAAUCCCGACUUCGGAAGGGAUGUAUUUAUUAGAUUAAAAACCAAUGCCCUUCGGGGCUCACUGGUGAUUCAUGAUAACUCCUCGAAUCGCAUGGCCUUGUGCCGGCGAUGGUUCAUUCAAAUUUCUUCCCUAUCAACUUUCGAUGUUUGGGUAUUGGCCAAACAUGGUUGCAACGGGUAACGGAGGGUUAGGGCUCGACCCCGGAGAAGGAGCCUGAGAAACGGCUACUACAUCCAAGGAAGGCAGCAGGCGCGCAAAUUACCCAAUCCCGACACGGGGAGGUAGUGACAAUAAAUACUGAUACAGGGCUCUUUUGGGUCUUGUAAUUGGAAUGAGUACAAUUUAAAUCCCUUAACGAGGAACAAUUGGAGGGCAAGUCUGGUGCCAGCAGCCGCGGUAAUUCCAGCUCCAAUAGCGUAUAUUAAAGUUGUUGUGGUUAAAAAGCUCGUAGUUGAACCUUGGGCCUGGCUGGCCGGUCCGCCUCACCGCGUGUACUGGUCCGGCCGGGCCUUUCCCUCUGUGGAACCCCAUGCCCUUCACUGGGUGUGGCGGGGAAACAGGACUUUUACUGUGAAAAAAUUAGAGUGCUCCAGGCAGGCCUAUGCUCGAAUACAUUAGCAUGGAAUAAUAGAAUAGGACGUGUGGUUCUAUUUUGUUGGUUUCUAGGACCGCCGUAAUGAUUAAUAGGGACAGUCGGGGGCAUCAGUAUUCAAUUGUCAGAGGUGAAAUUCUUGGAUUUAUUGAAGACUAACUACUGCGAAAGCAUUUGCCAAGGAUGUUUUCAUUAAUCAGGAACGAAAGUUAGGGGAUCGAAGACGAUCAGAUACCGUCGUAGUCUUAACCAUAAACUAUGCCGACUAGGGAUCGGACGGUGUUAUUUUUUGACCCGUUCGGCACCUUACGAGAAAUCAAAGUGCUUGGGGCUCCAGGGGGGAGUAUGGUCGCCAGGGCUGAAACUUAAAGAAAUUGACGGAAGGGCACCACCCAGGGGGUGGAGCCUGGCGGCUUUAUUUUGACUCAACACGGGGGAAACUCACCCGGUCCAGAACACAAUGGAGGAAUUGACCGAAUUGAAGACCUCUUUUCUUGAUUUUUGGGGGGUGGGGGGGGCAUGGGCCGUUCUUAAUUUGGGGGGAAGGAAUUUGUCUGGCUU